This 75-nucleotide transfer RNA is filed under the name Coconut lethal yellowing phytoplasma. RNAcentral's name for it is "tRNA-Ile". It matches the Rfam family "tRNA". Rfam says of the family: Transfer RNA (tRNA) molecules are approximately 80 nucleotides in length. Their secondary structure includes four short double-helical elements and three loops (D, anti-codon, and T loops). Further hydrogen bonds mediate the characteristic L-shaped molecular structure. tRNAs have two regions of fundamental functional importance: the anti-codon, which is responsible for specific mRNA codon recognition, and the 3' end, to which the tRNAs corresponding amino acid is attached (by aminoacyl-tRNA synthetases). tRNAs cope with the degeneracy of the genetic code in two manners: having more than one tRNA (with a specific anti-codon) for a particular amino acid; and 'wobble' base-pairing, i.e. permitting non-standard base-pairing at the 3rd anti-codon position. Lineage: Bacteria; Bacillati; Mycoplasmatota; Mollicutes; Acholeplasmatales; Acholeplasmataceae. The record is from RNAcentral.
AGGGCCUAUAGCUCAGUUGGUUAGAGCACACGCCUGAUAAGCGUGAGGUCGGUGGUUCAAGUCCAUUUAGGCCCA